This 329-nucleotide long non-coding RNA is filed under the name Ananas comosus (pineapple). RNAcentral's name for it is "long non-coding RNA (ACOM_LNC033196)". The record is from RNAcentral. Lineage: Eukaryota; Viridiplantae; Streptophyta; Magnoliopsida; Poales; Bromeliaceae.
CCGGAACACGGUCUCUUGUACCGGUACAAGGACCAAAAUGUGAAAAAAAAAAUUUCAAAAAAUAUCCUUUAAAAACCCAUCAAAUUUAAAUUAAAUCCAUAUAAUUAAGGCUUUUACUCCAAAAAUUAUUAUAAUGAAAAUAAGAUAUUAUAAAAUUUCAAAACACAUCGAAACAUCAAAAUUUCAAAAUCAAAAAUAAUUUAAUGAUUCAAAACCAUCAAGAUGUAAGUUGAUGAAAAAUGAUUUUUAGAAAUUCAACAAAAUUGACACCAAUUUGUCGCAACACAUUCAAAAUAGAGAUUUAACUAAUAUGGUACCGGGGGUGGCUC